GAGGAAUAUUGGUCAAUGGGCGCAAGCCUGAACCAGCCAAGUAGCGUGCAGGAAGACGGCCCUAUGGGUUGUAAACUGCUUUUAUACGAGAAUAAUUUGAUGCACGUGUGCGUUAUUGCAUGUAUCGUAUGAAUAAGGACCGGCUAAUUCCGUGCCAGCAGCCGCGGUAAUACGGAAGGUCCAGGCGUUAUCCGGAUUUAUUGGGUUUAAAGGGAGUGUAGGCGGUUUGUUAAGCGUGUUGUGAAAUUUAGAUGCUCAACAUUUAACUUGCAGCGCGAACUGGCGAACUUGAGUGCACACAACGUAUGCGGAAUUCAUGGUGUAGCGGUGAAAUGCUUAGAUAUCAUGAAGAACUCCGAUUGCGAAGGCAGCAUACGGGAGUGUAACUGACGCUUAAGCUCGAAGGUGCGGGUAUCGAACAGGAUUAGAUACCCUGGUAGUCCGCACAGUAAACGAUGGAUGCCCGCUGUUAGCGCCUGGCGUUAGCGGCUAAGCGAAAGCAUUAAGCAUCCCACCUGGGGAGUACGCCGGCAACGGUG
Molecule: ribosomal RNA, 539 nt
Filed under: uncultured bacterium
Lineage: Bacteria
Description: bacterial SSU rRNA
Rfam family: Bacterial small subunit ribosomal RNA
Source: RNAcentral